This 28-nucleotide non-coding RNA is filed under the name Homo sapiens (human). The record is from RNAcentral. Lineage: Eukaryota; Metazoa; Chordata; Mammalia; Primates; Hominidae.
AGCGCAUACAUAGACCACUCUUGUGAGA